UCUGUAACCUAGAACUAGUCUAGGGAGAGACCUGUUGUCUGUAACCUAUAACUAGUCUAGGGAGAGACCUGUUGUCUGUAACCAGUAACUAGUCUAGGGAGAGACCUGUUGUCUGUAACCAGUAACUAGUCGAGGGAGAGACCUGUUGUCUGUAACCAGUAACUAGUCUAGGGAGAGACCUGUUGUCUGUAACCAGUAACUAGUCUGGGGAGAGACCUGUUGUCUUUAACCAGUAGCUAGUAG
Long non-coding RNA from Oncorhynchus tshawytscha (Chinook salmon), 243 nucleotides. RefSeq lists it as uncharacterized. The record is from RefSeq and is a predicted model, not a curated record. The transcript is spliced from 3 exons. Lineage: Eukaryota; Metazoa; Chordata; Actinopteri; Salmoniformes; Salmonidae.